Molecule: transfer RNA, 70 nt
Filed under: Rattus norvegicus (Norway rat)
Lineage: Eukaryota; Metazoa; Chordata; Mammalia; Rodentia; Muridae
Rfam family: tRNA
About the family: Transfer RNA (tRNA) molecules are approximately 80 nucleotides in length.
Source: Rfam by way of RNAcentral
UGGAGUUUAGCUCAGCGGUAGAGCGCUUGCCUAGCAAGCGCAAGGCCCUGGGUUCGGUCCCCAGCUCCAA